This 791-nucleotide ribosomal RNA is filed under the name uncultured bacterium. Its description in RNAcentral is "bacterial SSU rRNA". It matches the Rfam family "Bacterial small subunit ribosomal RNA", at positions 552 to 1342 of the family's 1533-position model. The record is from RNAcentral.
UAUUGGGCGUAAAGAGCUUGUAGGUGGCUUGUCGCGUCUGCCGUGAAAACCCGAGGCUCAACCUCGGGCGUGCGGUGGGUACGGGCAGGCUAGAGUGUGGUAGGGGAGACUGGAACUCCUGGUGUAGCGGUGAAAUGCGCAGAUAUCAGGAAGAACACCGAUGGCGAAGGCAGGUCUCUGGGCCAUUACUGACACUGAGAAGCGAAAGCAUGGGUCUCGAACAGGAUUAGAUACCCUGGUAUUCCAUGCCGUAAACGUUGGGCACUAGGUGUGGGGGACAUUCCCACGUUUUCCGCGCCGUAGCUAACGCAUUAAGUGCCCCGCCUGGGGAGUACGGCCGCAAGGCUAAAACUCAAAGGAAUUGACGGGGGCCCGCACAAGCGGCGGAGCAUGCUGAUUAAUUCGAUGCAACGCGAAGAACCUUACCAAGGCUUGACAUGCACUGGACGGCUGCAGAGAUGUGGCCUUCUUUGGACUGGUGCACAGGUGGUGCAUGGUUGUCGUCAGCUCGUGUCGUGAGAUGUUGGGUUAAGUCCCGCAACGAGCGCAACCCUCGUUCUAUGUUGCCAGCACGUGAUGGUGGGGACUCAUAGGAGACUGCCGGGGUCAACUCGGAGGAAGGUGGGGACGACGUCAAAUCAUCAUGCCCCUUAUGUCUUGGGCUUCAAGCAUGCUACAAUGGUCGGUACAAUGGGUUGCGAAACUGUGAGGUGGAGCGAAUCCCAAAAAGCCGGCCUCAGUUCGGAUUGGGGUCUGCAACUCGACCCCAUGAAGUCGGAGUCGCUAGUAAU